This 921-nucleotide ribosomal RNA is filed under the name uncultured bacterium. RNAcentral's name for it is "bacterial SSU rRNA". It matches the Rfam family "Bacterial small subunit ribosomal RNA", at positions 8 to 896 of the family's 1533-position model. The record is from RNAcentral.
AGAGUUUGAUCCUGGCUCAGGAUGAACGCUAGCGGUGCGCCUAACACAUGCAAGUCGAGCGAUCGAACUGGACUGAUCACCCUUCGGGGUGAGAGGACCAGUGACGGAGCGGCGGACUGGUGAGUAACGCGUAGCUAACCUACCCCCUUGACAAGGAUAGCCACUCGAAAGGGUGGAUAAUACCCGAUAUUGCUCGAGAUCGAAAGAUCUUGAGCCAAAGGCGGUCUUGCCGUCGCAAGGGGAGGGGGCUGCGUCCUAUUAGCUUGUUGGUGGGGUAAUGGCCCACCAAGGCGAUGAUGGGUAGCUGGUCUGAGAGGAUGGCCAGCCACAUUGGGACUGAGAUACGGCCCAGACUCCUACGGGAGGCAGCAGUGGGGAAUCUUUCGCAAUGGACGAAAGUCUGACGGAGCGACACCGCGUGGGGGAUGAAUGCUUUCGGGUUGUAAACCCCUUUUCUGGGGGAAGAAUAAGGGCGGGAGGAAAUGCCCGUCCGAUGACGGUACCCCAGGAAUAAGCAUCGGCUAACUUCGUGCCAGCAGCCGCGGUAAGACGAAGGAUGCAAGCGUUAUCCGGAAUUACUGGGCGUAAAGGGCGCCUAGGCGGCUGAGUAAGUCACCCGUAAAAGCCCUCAGCUCAACUGAGGAAUGUCGAGUGAAACUGCCCAGCUUGGGUGCAGGAGAGGAGGGUGGAACUCACAGAGUAGCGGUGGAAUGCGUAGAUACUGUGAGGUACCCCGAUGGCGAAGGCAACCCUCUAGCCUGCUACCGACGCUGAAGCGCGAAAGCGUGGGGAGCAAAGGGGAUUAGAUACCCCCGUAGUCCACGCCGCAAACGAUGUUCACUGGGUGUCGUUCGCUAAUACAGAUCGGUGCCGGAGCUAACGCGUUAAGUGAACCGCCUGGGGAGUACGGCCGCAAGGCUA